UCCGGUUUAUCACCAGCAGUCUCCUUAGAGUGCUCACCAUGACGUGGAGCAACUAAGGACAGGGGUUGCGCUCGUUACGGGACUUAACCCAACAUCUCACGACACGAGCUGACGACAGCCAUGCAGCACCUGUGUUCAGGUUCCCGAAGGCACUCCGCCAUCUCUGGCAGAUUCCUGACAUGUCAAGGGUAGGUAAGGUUCUUCGCGUUGCAUCGAAUUAAACCACAUGCUCCACCGCUUGUGCGGGCCCCCGUCAAUUUCUUUGAGUUUUAACCUUGCGGCCGUACUCCCCAGGCGGAGAACUUAGCGCGUUAGCUACGCUACCGACAGACCGAAGUCUACCAACAGCUAGUUCUCAUCGUUUACAGCGUGGACUAC
Molecule: unclassified non-coding RNA, 378 nt
Filed under: uncultured Gammaproteobacteria bacterium
Lineage: Bacteria; Pseudomonadati; Pseudomonadota; Gammaproteobacteria
Description: contains 16S-23S intergenic spacer region
Source: RNAcentral